GCUGAGGUGGCGGAGCGGACAAUCGUAGUAGACUGUAAAUCUACCGGCCGAAAGGCCUACCCAGGUUCGAAUCCUGGCCUCAGCACCA
This 88-nucleotide transfer RNA is filed under the name Candidatus Gottesmanbacteria bacterium. RNAcentral describes it as "tRNA-Tyr". It matches the Rfam family "tRNA". From Rfam's summary of the family: Transfer RNA (tRNA) molecules are approximately 80 nucleotides in length. Lineage: Bacteria; Candidatus Gottesmaniibacteriota. The record is from RNAcentral.